Molecule: ribosomal RNA, 252 nt
Filed under: uncultured bacterium
Lineage: Bacteria
Description: partial 16S ribosomal RNA
Rfam family: Bacterial small subunit ribosomal RNA
Source: RNAcentral
UACGUAGGUCCCGAGCGUUGUCCGGAUUUAUUGGGCGUAAAGCGAGCGCAGGUGGUUUAUUAAGUCUGGUGUAAAAGGCAGUGGCUCAACCAUUGUAUGCAUUGGAAACUGGUAGACUUGAGUGCAGGAGAGGAGAGUGGAAUUCCAUGUGUAGCGGUGAAAUGCGUAGAUAUCAGGAGGAACACCGGCGGCGAAGGCGGCCUGCUGGACCGCGACUGACGUUGAGGCUCGAAAGCGUGGGGAGCGAACAGG